UACGUAGGGUGCAAGCGUUGUCCGGAAUUAUUGGGCGUAAAGAGCUCGUAGGCGGUCUGUCGCGUCUGCUGUGAAAACUCAGGGCUUAACCCUGAGCUUGCAGUGGGUACGGGCAGACUAGAGUGCGGUAGGGGAGACUGGAAUUCCUGGUGUAGCGGUGAAAUGCGCAGAUAUCAGGAGGAACACCGGUGGCGAAGGCAGCUCGCUGGAACGGUACUGACGCUGAGGCGCGAAAGCGUGGGGAGCGAACAGG
RNAcentral lists this ribosomal RNA (253 nucleotides) under uncultured bacterium. RNAcentral's name for it is "partial 16S ribosomal RNA". It matches the Rfam family "Bacterial small subunit ribosomal RNA", at positions 524 to 776 of the family's 1533-position model. The record is from RNAcentral.